UUAAUUUUUUGGUGGUUAGUGUUGAUAUUUUAUUAAAGUAUUUUGGUGUUAUUGUAUAUUUUAUUGAUUUAAUUUUUUAGUUUAUAGUUUACUUUGUACUGUAGGGGGUUAUUUUUUGUUCUUGUAAAAGCUGAUUUUUUUUGUUGUACCUUGUGUAUCAGGGUUUAUUAAAUUUUAUUAUAGAUUUAUUUAUUUCCCGAUUUUGGAUGAUUUAAUAAUUUAUUUUAGUUACUGUUUCAUAAGUAUUAAUAAUAUUUUGUUGGUAGUGAGAUGUUUUUCGUUUUCAGUGAUAUCUGGUUUUCUAGGAAAUGAAUUUAAUUCAUGCAUUUUGUUUAAUAUUCCUUUUUGUUUAGGGGUGUUUUAUUUGGUGUAAAUGCUUUGGGGGAUUAGCUCUGGGGUUGAAUUCUUAAAAUUGGCUUGUUUUGUUUAUCUUUGUGGGUUUUAUGUUAACUAUCAGUUUAAUUAUGUUGAAAUUUUAUUUUUGUUUUGUUUUAUUUUGGUUUGGUUUAAGUUUUAUAUUAGAAUAUUGUUAUUAAUUUUUAAUUAUUUAUGAUUAUGGUGGAAUUAGUAUAUGUUGUUUUGUGAUUGUUAGUGAUUUGUAGUUGGUAAUUUUUCUUUAGGAAUUAGGCAAAGUUUAAAUGCUCGCCUGUUUAUCAAAAACAACUCCUCUUGUUUUGUUUUUUGGAGGUAGGACCUGCCCACUGAAGUUUUGAAGGGCCGCGGUAUUUUGACCGUGCAAAGGUAGCAUAAUCAUUAGUCUUUUAAUUGUGGGCUGGUAUGAAUGGUUUGACGAGGCACAAUCUGUCUUGGGUUAAUAUUUUAUUGAAUUUGGGUUUUAGAUAAAAAUAUCUAAAUUUUUUUGUGGGACGAGAAGACCCUAUAGAGUUUUAUAUUAGUCCUUUUUUAUUUGUUUGUUUUUGUUAUUUUUAGUUGGGGUUUUAUUUUGUUGGGGUGACAUGAAGAUUUAUUUAACUCUUCUUUUGGUUUGUUUAUAUACAUUAAUAGUUUGUUGAUCCUUUAUUAUUGAUUUUAAGAUUAAAUUACCUUAGGGAUAACAGCGUAAUCUUUCUUGAAAGUUCUUAUUGACAGGGGGGUUUGCGACCUCGAUGUUGGAUUAGGGUGAAUUUUUGGUGUAGAGGCUUAAGAAAUUAGGUCUGUUCGACCUUUAAAACCUUACAUGAUCUGAGUUCAAACCGGCGUGAGCCAGGUUGGUUUCUAUCUAUAAGAUUUUGCGGCACCUUAGUACGAAAGGACCAGUUGUUGGGAAUAAUUUU
Molecule: ribosomal RNA, 1274 nt
Filed under: Stolotermes ruficeps
Lineage: Eukaryota; Metazoa; Arthropoda; Insecta; Blattodea; Termopsidae
Description: 16S ribosomal RNA
Rfam family: Bacterial large subunit ribosomal RNA (bases 835-1274)
Source: RNAcentral